GAUGAACGCUGGCGGCGUGCCUAAUACAUGCAAGUCGAGCGAACGGACGAGAAGCUUGUGUCUCUGAUGUUAGCGGCAGGCGGGUGUGUAACAUGUGUAUCACCUACUUAUAAGACUGGGAGAACUUCGGGAAACCGUAGCUUAUACAGGAUAAUAUUUUGAACCGGAUGGUGCAAAAGUGAAAUUCGGUGUUUGUGUAACUUCUAGAUGGUUCCGCGCUUCAUUAGUUUGUUGGUAGUGUACCGGCUUUUCAAGGCAACAAGGCCUGGCCGACCUGCUGGCGGGAUCGACCACACAGGAACUGAGCCGCGGUCCAGACUCCUACGGAAGGCAGAAGUGGCGAAUCUUGCGCACUGGGCGAAAGCCUGACGGAGCAACGCCGCGUGAGUGAUGAAGGUCUGCGGAUCGUAAACUCUCUUAUUAGGGAAGAACAUAUGUGUAAGUAACUGUGCACAUCUUGACGGUACCUAAUCAGAAAGCCACGGCUAACUACGUG
Molecule: ribosomal RNA, 496 nt
Filed under: uncultured bacterium
Lineage: Bacteria
Description: partial 16S ribosomal RNA
Rfam family: Bacterial small subunit ribosomal RNA
Source: RNAcentral